This 76-nucleotide transfer RNA is filed under the name Dolosigranulum pigrum. Its description in RNAcentral is "tRNA-Trp". It matches the Rfam family "tRNA". From Rfam's summary of the family: Transfer RNA (tRNA) molecules are approximately 80 nucleotides in length. Their secondary structure includes four short double-helical elements and three loops (D, anti-codon, and T loops). Lineage: Bacteria; Bacillati; Bacillota; Bacilli; Lactobacillales; Carnobacteriaceae. The record is from RNAcentral.
AGGGAUAUAGUUUAAUGGCAGAAUAACGAGCUCCAAACUCGUUGGUGCGGGUUCGACUCCUGCUAUCCUGUUACCA